This 360-nucleotide ribosomal RNA is filed under the name uncultured bacterium. RNAcentral describes it as "bacterial SSU rRNA". It matches the Rfam family "Bacterial small subunit ribosomal RNA", at positions 30 to 416 of the family's 1533-position model. The record is from RNAcentral.
AGCGAACGCUGGCGGCAGGCCUAACACAUGCAAGUCGAGCGGGCGCCUUCGGGCGUCAGCGGCAGACGGGUGAGUAACGCGUGGGAACGUGCCCAUCGGUUCGGAACAACCCAGGGAAACUUGGGCUAAUACCGGAUACGUGCGAGAGCAGAAAGAUUUAUCGCCGAUGGAUCGGCCCGCGUCUGAUUAGCUCGUUGGUGAGGUAACGGCUCACCAAGGCGACGAUCAGUAGCUGGUCUGAGAGGAUGAUCAGCCACACUGGGACUGAGACACGGCCCAGACUCCUACGGGAGGCAGCAGUGGGAAUAUUGCGCAAUGGGCGAAAGCCUGACGCAGCGACGCCGCGUGGGGAUGACGGCC